This is a long non-coding RNA of Cebus imitator (Panamanian white-faced capuchin), 1218 nucleotides long. RefSeq lists it as uncharacterized. The record is from RefSeq and is a predicted model, not a curated record. The transcript is spliced from 3 exons. Lineage: Eukaryota; Metazoa; Chordata; Mammalia; Primates; Cebidae.
CUCCACCUUUUUAACUUUGUCAUGAAUUGUCAGUGCCGAGUUCCUGGUAGUUGGUAAAAAGAAUUGCCUUCUCCCUGAUAUCCUGUUCUGUGGGAAGCCUUUGUGGUUUAGAGUCACAGCUUCUCAUUGUUGCUAGCUACAGUUGUCUCCUCCCUCCUGCCCUUCCCUCCCGACCGACCGCUCUAGCUAUUCCCUUGUCCCUCCCCAUUCUUGUAUCACUUGCCCCACAGUUACCCUCGUGAUUAGAGGUCUUUUGCUGGAGGUUGACUGUGCUGUCUGCUCUCUGACACAGUUGGCUAUUCUAGUCCCAGAAGAAAGAAGAGAGACUUGCUGAAGAUCCGGAUGGGACAAUAGAAGUUUAGGGGCGCAUUAAAAAGAAGCAGCAAGAGCAUCAACAAAAACGUCAGAUGAUUCAAGCAGGCUUCUUGGCCUUGUGGAACUUUUUGCAGUUGCUCAGAAUUUGUUUUUGGUUCAGAGGAUGAUGGGACAAGGCAAUAGAGAACAAGGAGGGUUAUGUGGGAUUCUUGUUUAUCUGUUUGCCUCUCCUUCCAGUUGGAAAAUCUUCAGUCCAUAAGAAGCAUUAUCAACAAGGCUGAAAGAUACAUCUUACCCUGAUCCUGGAUGCCGUUGGAGUUGAGGAUUACAUCCACUUUACCAGGACUUUAUGGAGGCCAUUCAAGAAAAAUAGAAGGAAGCAAUACUUAAGGCUUUUUCUGUUAACAUUAGUCCUAUGCCAUGUUACAUUUUGGACAUUGUUUGAAACAAGUGAGGGAGGGCUCUGUCAUCUGGAUCUAGGAGGAUACCUGAGUCCCUUGAACUACACAGGUGAUAUUUGGAAGGUGGUAAACUCAAAAUCUUCCAACAUAAAUUCACUGAAUUCUGGAUUCCCUUCCUUUUUAGAACUUUAGCAGACAGAAAUUACCUGCCAAAAAAGGCACAAAAGCUUCUCCCUUUUUUUCAGGCUAAAUGUGAACAAUAAUGUCUUGGAAGAGAAAUUAUUUUUCAGGGGGUCGGGGUAGUGUACAAGGGAUGUUUGCUCCUCGAAGCUCAACCUCCAUAGCCCCCAGCAAAGGCCUCAGCAAUGAGCCAGGGCAAAACAGCUGCUUCCUCAACAGUGCCCUGCAGGUUUUGUGGCACUUGGAUAUCUUCCGACGUAGCUUUAGGCAGCUUACAACUCACAAGUGCAUGGGAGAUUCCUGCAUCUUUUGUGCUCUCAAG